ACGAACGCUGGCGGCGUGCCUAAUACAUGCAAGUCGAACGGUCUUUCUAUGGAAGCUUGCUUCCACUGAGAAGAUAGUGGCGAACGGGUGAGUAACACGUGGGUAACCUGCCCAUAAGAGGGGGAUAACAUCCGGAAACGGGUGCUAAUACCGCAUAGUUUUCUUGAUUGCAUGAUUGAGAAGGAAAGACGGCCUUUGUGCUGUCGCUUAUGGAUGGACCCGCGGCGUAUUAGUUAGUUGGUGAGGUAACGGCUCACCAAGACGAUGAUACGUAGCCGACCUGAGAGGGUGAUCGGCCACAUUGGGACUGAGACACGGCCCAAACUCCUACGGGAGGCAGCAGUAGGGAAUCUUCCGCAAUGGACGAAAGUCUGACGGAGCAACGCCGCGUGAGUGAAGAAAAGGUUUUCGGAUCGUAAAACUCUGUUGUCAGAGAAGAACAAGUUGGAGAGUAACUGCUCCAGCCUUGACGGUAUCUGACCAGAAAGCCACGGCUAACUACGUGCCAGCCGCAGC
RNAcentral lists this ribosomal RNA (516 nucleotides) under uncultured bacterium. Its description in RNAcentral is "bacterial SSU rRNA". It matches the Rfam family "Bacterial small subunit ribosomal RNA", at positions 29 to 518 of the family's 1533-position model. The record is from RNAcentral.